This 912-nucleotide ribosomal RNA is filed under the name uncultured bacterium. RNAcentral describes it as "bacterial SSU rRNA". It matches the Rfam family "Bacterial small subunit ribosomal RNA", at positions 8 to 916 of the family's 1533-position model. The record is from RNAcentral.
AGAGUUUGAUCCUGGCUCAGAUUGAACGCUGGCGGCAUGCUUUACACAUGCAAGUCGAACGGUAACAGGGAGCUUGCUCCGCUGACGAGUGGCGAACGGGUGAGUAAUAUAUCGGAACGUACCCAAGAGUGGGGGAUAACGUAGCGAAAGUUACGCUAAUACCGCAUACGAUCUAAGGAUGAAAGCAGGGGACCGCAAGGCCUUGUGCUCCUGGAGCGGCCGAUAUCUGAUUAGCUAGUUGGUGAGGUAAAGGCUCACCAAGGCAACGAUCAGUAGCUGGUCUGAGAGGACGACCAGCCACACUGGAACUGAGACACGGUCCAGACUCCUACGGGAGGCAGCAGUGGGGAAUUUUGGACAAUGGGGGCAACCCUGAUCCAGCAAUGCCGCGUGAGUGAAGAAGGCCUUCGGGUUGUAAAGCUCUUUUGUCAGGGAAGAAACGGGUGGGGCUAAUAUCCCCAUCUAAUGACGGUACCUGAAGAAUAAGCACCGGCUAACUACGUGCCAGCAGCCGCGGUAAUACGUAGGGUGCAAGCGUUAAUCGGAAUUACUGGGCGUAAAGCGUGCGCAGGCGGUUUUGUAAGUCUGUCGUGAAAUCCCCGGGCUUAACCUGGGAAUGGCGAUGGAGACUGCAAGGCUAGAGUUUGGCAGAGGGGGGUAGAAUUCCACGUGUAGCAGUGAAAUGCGUAGAGAUGUGGAGGAACACCGAUGGCGAAGGCAGCCCCCUGGGUCAAGACUGACGCUCAUGCACGAAAGCGUGGGGAGCAAACAGGAUUAGAUACCCUGGUAGUCCACGCCCUAAACGAUGUCUACUAGUUGUCGGGUCUUAAUUGACUUGGUAACGCAGCUAACGCGUGAAGUAGACCGCCUGGGGAGUACGGUCGCAAGAUUAAAACUCAAAGGAAUUGACGG